Molecule: ribosomal RNA, 218 nt
Filed under: uncultured bacterium
Lineage: Bacteria
Description: partial 16S ribosomal RNA
Rfam family: Bacterial small subunit ribosomal RNA
Source: RNAcentral
CGUCUCAGUUCGGAUUGCAGGCUGCAACUCGCCUGCAUGAAGUCGGAAUUGCUAGUAAUCGCGGAUCAGCAUGCCGCGGUGAAUACGUUCCCGGGCCUUGUACACACCGCCCGUCACACCAUGAGAGCCGGGAACACCCGAAGUCCGUAGUCUAACCAUUAAGGAGGACGCGGCCGAAGGUGGGUUUGGUAAUUGGGGUGAAGUCGUAACAAGGUAGC